Brachypodium distachyon (stiff brome) is the source of this 114-nucleotide non-coding RNA. Lineage: Eukaryota; Viridiplantae; Streptophyta; Magnoliopsida; Poales; Poaceae. The record is from Rfam.
AUGCUACUCCCUCCGUCCAACAAAGGAUGUCUCAACUUUGUCAAAAUUUGAAUGUAGAUACAUUCAAAUUUUGACAAAGUUGAGACAUCUUUUGUUGGACGGAGGGAGUACAAA